Molecule: ribosomal RNA, 2841 nt
Filed under: Prosthecobacter fusiformis
Lineage: Bacteria; Pseudomonadati; Verrucomicrobiota; Verrucomicrobiia; Verrucomicrobiales; Verrucomicrobiaceae
Description: 23S ribosomal RNA
Rfam family: Bacterial large subunit ribosomal RNA
Source: RNAcentral
CAAGAUUUAAAGGGUAUGUAGUGGAUGCCUUGGCACCAGCAGGCGAUGAAGGACGUGGUAAGCUGCGAUAAGCCUCGGAGAGCCGCAAACAGGCACUGAUCCGGGGAUUUCCGAAUGGGAUAACCUGAUACGGUUCAUACCGUAUCGUUCUGCUCUCAAUACAUAGGAGCAGAGACGCUAAACCGCCUGAAGUGAAACAUCUCAGUAGGGCGAGGAAAAGAAAGCGAAAGCGAUUCCGUCAGUAGUGGCGAACGAAAGCGGAACAGCCCAAACCAGGAGGUUUCCUCCUGGGGUUGUAGGGCCUCGACGUGGCAGUUGAAGAGUUAGGUGAAGCGGAUGGAAAGUCGCUCCACAGAGGGUGAAAGGCCCGUAACCGAAAACUCAACAACGCCUAGAGGUACCCUGAGUAAUGCGAUACACGUGAAACUUCGCAUGAAUCUGUGCCGACCACGGCAUAAGGCUAAAUACUCGCUGGUGACCGACAGUGAACAAGUACCGCGAGGGAAAGGUGAAAAGAUCCGCCGUGAGCGAAGUGAAAUAGUACCUGAAACCACAUACCUACAAGGUGUCAGAGCCGGCUUGUCCGGUGAUGGCGUGCCUUUUGCAAAAUGAGUCUGCGAGUCAGUCUGUGUGGCAAGCCUAAGUCCUUCUGGGAUGGAGGCGGAGCGAAAGCAAGUCCGAAUAGGGCGACAAGUUGCACGGGCUGAACCCGAAGCGGUGGUGAUCUACCUAUGGCCAGGUUGAAGCGUCUUUAAUCGGACGUGGAGGACCGAACCGGUGAACCUUGAGACGUUCUCGGAUGAGCUGUGGGUAGGGGUGAAAGGCUAAUCAAACCCCGUAAUAGCUGGUUCUCCCCGAAAUGUAUUUAGGUGCAGCGUCAUGCGCUUAUCGAGGGGGGUAGAGCACUGAAUGAGCUAGGGGGCAUACCCGCCUACCAACCUCAAUCAAACUCCGAAUACCCUCGAACGAAGCAUGGCAGUAAGACAGUGGGGGAUAAGCUUCAUUGUCGAAAGGGAAACAGCCCAGCUCAGCAGCUAAGGUGCCUAAAUAACGCUCAGUGGAAAGGAAGUGAGAUCUCAUUGACAGUGAGGAUGUUGGCUUAGAAGCAGCCACCAUUUAAACAGUGCGUAAUAGCUGACUCAUCGAGAGGUCUCGCGCCGAAAAUGAUUGGCGAUAAGCGUUAUACCGAAGCUCUGGACUACAUUGUCCAAGGGCAAUGUUUUGGUAGGGGAGCGUUCUGUAAGCCUUGAAGCGUGAAGGUGACUGACCGUGGAGUUUACAGAAGUGAGGAUGCAGACAUAAGUAACGAUAAGACGGGUGAAAUCCCCGUCCGCCGUAAACCCAAGGUUUCCUGGGCAAUGAUUUUCAUCCCAGGGUUAGUCGGGAGCUAAGUCCAGGCCGUUUGGCGUAGGCGAUGCACAGCAGGUCAAUAUUCCUGCACCGGUGAUGGUUAAAGCACAGGUUCGCGUCAAGGGAGAGAGCAUGCCGAUUGAAAGUGGCAGAAGGGUGCGGAGCGAUCCAAUCCUGGUCUCUUGAACUGAGCGCCUAGAAAAGCCUGUGCCCCUUUCCAUGGCCGCCCGUACCGCAAACCGACACAGGUGGGUGGGUAGAAUAUACCAAGGCGUAAGAGUGAAACCUCGUUAAGGAACUCUGCAAUCUAGUCCCGUAACUUCGGAAGAAGGGAUGCCCAAAUUUAUUUGGGUCGCAGUGAAAGGGGACAACCGACUGUUUAUCAAAAACACAGCAUUGUGCCAAGACGAAAGUCCAAGUAUACGAUGUGACACGUGACCAAUGCGGAAAGAUUAAGGCAAGGGGUUAGCCGUAAGGCGAAGCUCUGAACCCAAGUCCCCGUGAAUGUCGGCCGUAACUAUAACGGUCCUAAGGUAGCGAAAUUCCUUGUCGGGUAAGUUCCGACCUGCACGAAUCGUGUAACGAGUUGUCCGCUGUCUCAACGAGGGGCUCAGUGAAAUUGUAAUAGCAGUGAAGAUGCUGCUUACCCGCAGAAGGACGGAAAGACCCUAUGCACCUUAACUGUAAGCUGUCACUGGUCGUUUGGUUUUCAUGCUUAGCGUAAGUGGGAGGCUUUGAAGUGUAACUUUCGGGUUACAUGGAGCCAUCAAUGAAACACCACCCUUGGGUAUUGAACGAUCUAACCGCGGCCCGUCAUCCGGGCGUGGGACCAUGUCAGCCGGUCAGUUUUACUGGGGCGGUAUCCUCCCAAAGAGUAACGGAGGAGCGCGAAGGUUGGCUCAGCGUGGUUGGCAAUCACGUGUUGAGUGCAUUGGCAUAAGCCAGCCUAACUGUGAGACUAACAAGUCGAACAGACACGAAAGUGGGCCAAAGUGAUCCGGCGGUUUAAUGUGGAAUUGCCGUCGCUUAACGGACAAAAGGUACGCUAGGGAUAACAGGCUGAUCUUGCCCAAGAGUUCAUAUCGACGGCAAGGUUUGGCACCUCGAUGUCGGCUCAUCGCAUCCUGGGGCUGGAGAAGGUCCCAAGGGUCCGGCUGUUCGCCGGUUAAAGCGGUACGCGAGCUGGGUUCAGAACGUCGCGAGACAGUUCGGUCCUCUAUCCUCUGUGGGCGUAGGAAAAUUGAAGGGUUUAAUUCCUAGUACGAGAGGACCGGAAUUAACGCACCUCUGGUGUUCCAGUUGUUCUGUCAAGAGCAUCGCUGGGCAGCUAUGUGCGGAAGGGAUAAGCGCUGAAAGCAUCUAAGCGCCAAGCCCAUCCUAAGAUUAAUUUUCCCUGAAGGAUCGUGGAAGACUACCACGUUGAUAGGUCUCGGGUGCAAGCGCAGUAAUGUGUUCAGCUUAGAGAUACUAAUCAUCCGUUUGUCUUACAUU